GAUGAAGAACGUAGCGAAAUGCGAUACGUAAUGUGAAUUGCAGAAUUCAGUGAAUCAUCGAGUCUUUGAACGCACAUUGCGCCCCCUGGUAUUACGGGGGGCAUGCCUGUCCGAGCGUCAUUGCUGCCCUCAAGCACGGCUUGUGUGUUGGGCCUCCGUCCUCCUCCCGGGGGACGGGCCCGAAAGGCAGCGGCGGCACCGCGUCCGGUCCUCGAGCGUAUGGGGCUUCGUCACCCGCUCUUGUAGGCCCGGCCGGCGCUUGCCGACACAUCAAUCUUUUUUCCAGGUUGACCUCGGAUCAGGUAGGGAUACCCGCUGAACUUAAGCAUAUCAAUAAGCGGAGGA
This 345-nucleotide unclassified non-coding RNA is filed under the name soil metagenome. RNAcentral's name for it is "partial contains 5.8S ribosomal RNA, internal transcribed spacer 2, and large subunit ribosomal RNA". The stretch from base 1 to 120 matches the Rfam family "5.8S ribosomal RNA", at positions 35 to 154 of the family's 154-position model. The record is from RNAcentral.